GAACGCUGGCGGCAUGCCUAACACAUGCAAAUCGAACGGCAGCAUUAUCUAGGCUUGCUAGAUUAGAUUGGCGAGUGGCGAACGGGUGAGUAACGCGUAGGAAUAUGCCUUAAAGUGGGGGACAACUCGGGGAAACUCGAGCUAAUACCGCAUAAGCUCUAUGGAGUAAAGCUGGGGACCUUCGGGCCUGGCGCUUUAAGAUUAGCCUGCGUACGAUUAGCUAGUUGGUGGGGUAAAGGCCUACCAAGGCGACGAUCGUUAGCUGGUCUGAGAGGAUGAUCAGCCACACUGGGACUGAGACACGGCCCAGACUCCUACGGGAGGCAGCAGUGGGGAAUAUUGGACAAUGGGGGCAACCCUGAUCCAGCAAUGCCGCGUGUGUGAAGAAGGCCUAUGGGUUGUAAAGCACUUUCAGUGGGAGGAAAGGUAUUUGUUUAAGAGAUGAGUACUAUGACGUUACCCACAGAAGAAGCACCGGCUAACUCCGUG
Molecule: ribosomal RNA, 489 nt
Filed under: uncultured bacterium
Lineage: Bacteria
Description: bacterial SSU rRNA
Rfam family: Bacterial small subunit ribosomal RNA
Source: RNAcentral